This 336-nucleotide unclassified non-coding RNA is filed under the name soil metagenome. Its description in RNAcentral is "partial contains 5.8S ribosomal RNA, internal transcribed spacer 2, and large subunit ribosomal RNA". The stretch from base 1 to 120 matches the Rfam family "5.8S ribosomal RNA", at positions 35 to 154 of the family's 154-position model. The record is from RNAcentral.
GAUGAAGAACGCAGCGAAAUGCGAUAAGUAAUGUGAAUUGCAGAAUUCAGUGAAUCAUCGAAUCUUUGAACGCACAUUGCGCCCGCCAGUAUUCUGGCGGGCAUGCCUGUUUGAGCGUCAUUUCAACCAUCAAGCCCCCGGCUUGUGUUGGGGACCUGCGGCUGCCGCAGGCCCUGAAAAGCAGUGGCGGGCUCGCUGUCACACCGAGCGUAGUAGCAUACAUCUCGCUCUGGGCGUGCUGCGGGUUCCGGCCGUUAAACCACCUUCAUAACCCAAGGUUGACCUCGGAUCAGGUAGGAAGACCCGCUGAACUUAAGCAUAUCAAUAAGCGGAGGA